GCCGGAGCCGGAGCCUGCUCUAGGCAGCUGCAACAAAAACCCGGAGCCGGAGCUGUGGCCUGAUUCGGAUCGGACCUGCCUUAUAGUGCAACAGCAUCUCUCACAGACGUGAACAGCAGCGGUAGAACACUGGUGACGGAACAAAGACGUCGCUGGGACGAUGGUUCUGGGACUACCAAAGAGACAGGGAGGAGGAUGAGAAGAUGCUUA
This is a long non-coding RNA of Struthio camelus australis, 210 nucleotides long. RefSeq lists it as uncharacterized. Lineage: Eukaryota; Metazoa; Chordata; Aves; Struthioniformes; Struthionidae. The record is from RefSeq and is a predicted model, not a curated record.